UACGUAGGGUGCGAGCGUUAAUCGGAAUUACUGGGCGUAAGGCGUGCGCAGGCGGUUUUUCAAGUCUGAUGUGAAAGCCCCGGGCUUAACCUGGGAACUGCGUUGGAAACUGAAAGACUAGAGUGCGGCAGAGGGGGGUAGAAUUCCACGUGUAGCAGUGAAAUGCGUAGAUAUGUGGAGGAACAUCGAUGGCGAAGGCAGCCUCCUGGGAUAACACUGACGCUCAUGCACGAAAGCGUGGGGAGCAAACAGG
This 253-nucleotide ribosomal RNA is filed under the name uncultured bacterium. RNAcentral describes it as "partial 16S ribosomal RNA". It matches the Rfam family "Bacterial small subunit ribosomal RNA", at positions 524 to 776 of the family's 1533-position model. The record is from RNAcentral.